GGAGCCGUAGUGAAGGCUUAGCAUAUCCGCCUGUCACGCGGAAGGUCGCGGGUUCAAAUCCCGUCGUCUCCGCCA
RNAcentral lists this transfer RNA (75 nucleotides) under Deinococcota bacterium. Its description in RNAcentral is "tRNA-Asp". It matches the Rfam family "tRNA". From Rfam's summary of the family: Transfer RNA (tRNA) molecules are approximately 80 nucleotides in length. The record is from RNAcentral. Lineage: Bacteria; Thermotogati; Deinococcota.